This 406-nucleotide ribosomal RNA is filed under the name uncultured bacterium. RNAcentral's name for it is "partial 16S ribosomal RNA". It matches the Rfam family "Bacterial small subunit ribosomal RNA", at positions 30 to 526 of the family's 1533-position model. The record is from RNAcentral.
AUUGAACGCUGGCGGCAGGCCUAACACAUGCAAGUCGAACGAGUGGCGGACGGGUGUGUAAUGUCUGGGAAACUGCCAGAUGGAGGGGGAUAAAUACUGGAAACGGUAGCUAAUACCGCAUACCAUCAGAUGUGCCCAGAUGGGAUGAGCUAGUUGGUGGGGUAACGGCUCACCAAGGCGACGCUCCCUCGCUGGUCUGAGAGGAUGACCAGCCACACUGGAACUGAGACACGGUCCAGACUCCUACGGGAGGCAGCAGUGGGGAAUAUUGCACAAUGGGCGCAAGCCUGAUACAGCCAUGCCGCGUGUAUGAAGAAGGCCUUCGGGUUGUAAAGUACUUUCAGCGGGGAGGCGUUACCCGCAGAAGAAGCACCGGCUAACUCCGUGCCAGCCGCCGCGGUAAUUC